AUAGUACCUCGACCUUACAGAAGACCACAGCUAGAUAAUACUGUUUUAAAGCAGUAUUGUGUUCCUGUUGGUGAGUGUAGUGAGCAGAGCUCCUGAGAGGAUUGGGGAUAGGGUCGGCAACGCGCAUGUAAUGUUUCUGGUGUUGCAGGCGUCUAUAAGCUAUCAGGCUUCUCGAGAUAUUGCGCAUUCCAUGCUGCGCCCUACAUCAGUUAAACAAACAAGUUGAACGUCAGUUAAAUAAACAUCAAAUCAUAAAAAUUACAAUCAAUUUUUGAUCAAGUUAUUUAUUUUACUUUUAUCUACGUAGAUGUAUUUCGCGACAAGCUUUUAUAUUAUCUAUGUUGUGUAAUGACGUUAUGUGUUAAUAGUAAAAGUUUUAUAUGGAAAGUUUAUUUUAUUAUUUUUAGUGCAUUUAAAUAAAAUUUGAUUUUUAAAAAAGU
RNAcentral lists this unclassified non-coding RNA (440 nucleotides) under Melitaea cinxia (Glanville fritillary). RNAcentral describes it as "misc RNA ENSMCXG00005011909.1". The record is from RNAcentral. Lineage: Eukaryota; Metazoa; Arthropoda; Insecta; Lepidoptera; Nymphalidae.